CGCGUAGGCGGCUAGGCAAGUCAGAUGUGAAAGCCCCGGGCUUAACUCGGGAAUUGCAUCUGAAACUGCUGUGCUUGAGUCCUGGAGGGGGUAGUGGAAUUCCCAGUGUAGCGGUGAAAUGCGUAGAUAUUGGGAGGAACACCUGCGGCGAAGGCGGCUACCUGGACAGUGACUGACGCUGAUGCGCGAAAGCUAGGGGAGCAAACGGGAUUAGAUACCCCGGUAGUCCUAGCCGUAAACGAUGGGCACUUGGUGUCGGGGGUAUUGAGUCCCCCGGUGCCGGAGUUAACACGUUAAGUGCCCCGCCUGGGGAGUACGGUCGCAAGACUGAA
Molecule: ribosomal RNA, 332 nt
Filed under: uncultured bacterium
Lineage: Bacteria
Description: bacterial SSU rRNA
Rfam family: Bacterial small subunit ribosomal RNA
Source: RNAcentral